AGCGACCUUGCCUCGUGGUGGGGGAUAGCCGGCCCAACGGCCGGGUAAUACCGCAUAGGGUGCUUCUCUCGCAUGGGAGAGGUAGCAAAGCUUUGGAGCAAUCCAAGGCGCCACAGGGGGGCUCGCGGCCUAUCAGCUAGUUGGGGGGGUAAUGGCCCACCAAGGCGACGACGGGUAGCUGGUCUGAGAGGAUGGCCAGCCACAUUGGGACUGAGAGACGGCCCAG
This 226-nucleotide ribosomal RNA is filed under the name uncultured bacterium. Its description in RNAcentral is "partial 16S ribosomal RNA". It matches the Rfam family "Bacterial small subunit ribosomal RNA", at positions 120 to 334 of the family's 1533-position model. The record is from RNAcentral.